Molecule: ribosomal RNA, 497 nt
Filed under: uncultured bacterium
Lineage: Bacteria
Description: partial 16S ribosomal RNA
Rfam family: Bacterial small subunit ribosomal RNA
Source: RNAcentral
GAUGAACGCUGGCGGCGUGCCUAAUACAUGCAAGUCGAGCGAACAGACGAGGAGCUUGCUCCUCUGACGUUAGCGGCGGACGGGUGAGUAACACGUGGAUAACCUACCUAUAAGACUGGGAUAACUUCGGGAAACCGGAGCUAAUACCGGAUAAUAUAUUGAACCGCAUGGUUCAAUAGUGAAAGACGGUUUUGCUGUCACUUAUAGAUGGAUCCGCGCCGCAUUAGCUAGUUGGUAAGGUAACGGCUUACCAAGGCAACGAUGCGUAGCCGACCUGAGAGGGUGAUAGACCCCACUGGAACUGAGACACGGUCCAGACUACUACGGGAGGCACCAGUAGGGAAUCUUCCGCAAUGGGCGAAAGCCUGACGGAGCAACGCCGCGUGAGUGAUGAAGGUCUUCGGAUCGUAAAACUCUGUUAUUAGGGAAGAACAAAUGUGUAAGUAACUAUGCACGUCUUGACGGUACCUAAUCAGAAAGCCACGGCUAGCUACGUG